RNAcentral lists this long non-coding RNA (349 nucleotides) under Carica papaya (papaya). Its description in RNAcentral is "long non-coding RNA (CPAP_LNC007932)". Lineage: Eukaryota; Viridiplantae; Streptophyta; Magnoliopsida; Brassicales; Caricaceae. The record is from RNAcentral.
CAUGCAAAACAAGAGGGCAUGAUGGGUAGAUAAUAAGAUUAAGUCCUUGUUUUGUUGGACACCUGAAGAUUUCAGAACGUAUAGGCCUCAUGGCAUGCCGCCUCACUCUAACCUUGAGUAUGCUACAUUGCACGAUGUCUUCCAUGUUUUCGUGAUUCGAAAGCAUCUCUACAAACCAUCCCAUCACAUUUUGUGCCCAAGAGCCCCUCUUUGUUCAGACAAAACUUAUGCAGCAUAUCCUAUGGAGAUCAUCGAAUGGGAUGAGGACAUGAGACACGAUCGAAAAGUUUCGAUGGUCAAGGUGCACUAGUAACACCAUACCUAGGAGGCGACAUGGGAGGAUGAAAGG